AGCGAACGCUGGCGGCGUGCUUAACACAUGCAAGUCGAGCGAGAAAGGGGGCUUCGGCCCCUGAGUACAGCGGCGAACGGGUGCGUAAUACAUGAGCAAUCUACCCUUGAGGCGGGAAUAACCCAGCGAAAGUUGGGCUAAUACCGGAUAAGACCACAAGAGGAGACCCUUGAGGCUAAAGGCAGCUCUCUUUUGGGGGCGGCCCUUUGAGGAGGAGCUCAUGUCCUANCAGCUAGUUGGUAGGGUAACGGCCUACCAAGGCGAAGACGGGUAGCUGGUCUUAGAGGAUGAUCAGCCACACGGGGACUGAGACACGGCCCCGACUCCGUACGGGAGGCAGCAGUGGGGAAUAUUGGGCAAUGGGCGAAAGCCUGACCCAGCGACGCCGC
Molecule: ribosomal RNA, 389 nt
Filed under: uncultured bacterium
Lineage: Bacteria
Description: bacterial SSU rRNA
Rfam family: Bacterial small subunit ribosomal RNA
Source: RNAcentral